RNAcentral lists this long non-coding RNA (367 nucleotides) under Equus caballus (horse). RNAcentral describes it as "lncRNA (ENSECAG00000028510.2)". Lineage: Eukaryota; Metazoa; Chordata; Mammalia; Perissodactyla; Equidae. The record is from RNAcentral.
GCUGCAUAUGGUGCAUGUUACAAAGUGGCUGUGUCGUGAAGUUUGCAGCCAGGGGAGGUGCCUCUCUCGCUUUCUUUUUCGCACUUUUUCUUUUUUUUCCUUCACAGCUGCUCUCUGGAGGCUUCUUACUGCUAAUGUUCCAGAGAAACACCAGCAAUAAAGAGCACAAUGUUGCAAUCUGUUUUUGCAAUUCUUGCUUGGAUUUGAUCGGACAUCGUUAAUGACAAAUGACAACGGGCCUGUUGCCUCCCUGGAGCACCUUCCUUGUGGGGAAAAGGAUGAGUCUUCUCUGAAGCAGACCCGGAUUCCUCCGUCCUCGGAGCCCCCCAGGAGGCAGCGCGGAGCCAAGGGGGAGAGUUUCCUCGGC